CCUACAACAGGCAGCCUGAUGCAGCGACGCCGCGUGAGGGAUGACGGCCUUCGGGUUGAAACCUCUUUCACCCAUGACGAAGCGCAAGUGACGGUAGUGGGAGAAGAAGCACCGGCCAACUACGUGCCAGCAGCCGCGGUAAUACGUAGGGUGCGAGCGUUGUCCGGAAUUACUGGGCGUAAAGAGCUCGUAGGCGGUUUGUCGCGUCGUCUGUGAAAUCCCGCAGCUCAACUGCGGGCUUGCAGGCGAUACGGGCAGACUCGAGUACUGCAGGGGAGACUGGAAUUCCUGGUGUAGCGGUGAAAUGCGCAGAUAUCAGGAGGAACACCGGUGGCGAAGGCGGGUCUCUGGGCAGUAACUGACGCUGAGGAGCGAAAGCGUGGGUAGCGAACAGGAUUAGAUACCCUGGUAGUCCACGCCGUAAACGGUGGGCGCUAGGUGUGGGUUUCCUUCCACGGGAUCCGUGCCGUAGCCAACGCAUUAAGCGCCCCGCCUGGGGAGUACGGCCGCAAGGCUAAAACUAAAAGGGAAUUGACGG
This 538-nucleotide ribosomal RNA is filed under the name Rhodococcus sp. BTLP1. RNAcentral's name for it is "bacterial SSU rRNA". It matches the Rfam family "Bacterial small subunit ribosomal RNA", at positions 365 to 916 of the family's 1533-position model. Lineage: Bacteria; Bacillati; Actinomycetota; Actinomycetes; Mycobacteriales; Nocardiaceae. The record is from RNAcentral.